Molecule: RNA transcript, 1874 nt
Organism: Cynara cardunculus var. scolymus (artichoke)
Lineage: Eukaryota; Viridiplantae; Streptophyta; Magnoliopsida; Asterales; Asteraceae
Gene name: carotene epsilon-monooxygenase, chloroplastic
Exons: 9
Source: RefSeq, a predicted model, not a curated record
CAGACGGACGAUUUCAUCCUCACACCAUGCCUUCCGUACUAUCUUCUUUAUCAACCACCACUCUCCACCACAACCGCCACCGUUUCUCCUCCGUACCAUCGAACUCUCCAAUUCAAUUUACAAACCAUCGAUCUCUAACAAUCAAAUCUUCAAUUGAGAACAAACCCAAAUCCAAACCCGGCUCCAUCGCGAAAAACGGGUCAUGGGUCAGCCCAGAUUGGCUCACCGCCUUGACUCGCUCCCUUUCCACCACCCAAUCCGACGAUUCAAACAUACCCAUUGCAAAUGCUAAGCUGGAAGAUGUAUCGGACCUUCUGGGUGGAGCCCUUUUUCUUCCGUUGUUCAAAUGGAUGAAUGAGUACGGACCUAUUUAUAGAUUAGCAGCUGGGCCAAGGAAUUUCGUGAUUGUUAGUGAUCCAUUAAUUGCCAAGCAUGUUUUGAGGAAUUAUGGAACUAAGUAUGCUAAAGGUCUUGUUGCUGAGGUGUCUGAGUUCUUGUUUGGUUCUGGUUUCGCCAUUGCUGAAGGUUCACUUUGGACGGCAAGGCGGAGGGCUGUAGUUCCAUCACUUCACAAGAAGUACUUAUCAGUAAUAGUUGAUCGAGUAUUUUGCAAAUGUUCCCAGAGGUUUGUGGACAAGCUCAAAUCGUUAGCACUCAAUGGCACUUCUGUUAACAUGGAGGAGCAGUUUUCUCAAUUAACCCUUGAUGUUAUUGGUCUGGCAGUAUUUAACUACAAUUUUGAUUCCCUCACUACUGAUAGUCCUGUGAUUGAAUCUGUUUACACCGCACUGAAAGAAGCCGAAGCCCGUUCAACCGACCUCUUACCAUAUUGGAAGAUUAAAGCAUUAUGUAAGAUCAUUCCAAGACAAAUAAAAGCCGAACAAGCAGUUACUGUGAUUAGAGAAACUGUGGAAGAGCUUAUUUUGAAAUGCAAGGAGAUUGUUGAAAAAGAAGGGGAAAGAAUCAAUGAGGAAGAUUAUGUGAACGACGCAGAUCCAAGCAUCCUCCGAUUCUUGCUUGCUAGCAGGGAGGAGGUUUCGAGUGAACAACUACGUGAUGACCUUUUGUCGAUGUUGGUUGCUGGACACGAGACCACUGGUUCAGUGUUAACGUGGACUACAUAUCUUUUAAGUAAGGAUCCAUCUUCUUUAAUGAAGGCGCAAGAAGAAGUUGACAGAGUGUUACAAGGCCGCCGACCGACUUAUGAAGACAUAAAGAACCUCAAGUUCCUGACACGAUGCAUAAAUGAGUCAAUGCGUCUCUACCCGCAUCCUCCGGUUGGUGUUGAUAAGAAGAGCUCAAGUUGCAGACGAGCUUCCUGGAAAUUACAAAGUCAAUCCUGGUCAAGAUAUUAUGAUAUCGGUGUAUAACAUCCAUCAUUCAUCCGAGGUCUGGGAAAGGGCUGAAGAAUUCAUACCCGAAAGAUUUGGCUUGGAUGGGCCCGUGCCAAAUGAAACGAACACCGAUUACAAGUUCAUCCCGUUCAGCGGCGGCCCACGUAAAUGCGUAGGUGAUCAGUUCGCCAUGCUGGAAGCGAUUGUUGCUCUUGCAAUCUUUUUGCAGAACAUGGACUUCGAGUUGGUUCCGAAUCAAAAGAUUAACAUGACAACGGGCGCCACGAUUCACACAACAAACGGUUUGUACAUGAAAAUCAGAGAGCGUCAAAUAAAUUCCACAACGAUGUCUUCAAUGUAGUUCGUGUACGCACAGGGAUUCAUCGUAAAUCUAUACGUAUAUCCAUUUUUUUUGUAUUUUUCGUAAUUGAACUUGUAGAGCGCGAGGUAAGGUAUCGUUGUAUUUUAACGAGUUGGUUAAUUUGAAUCGAGAAGCAUGUUAACCAAAUGAGUUAAUAUCGAAUACGAUUGAUGCGACAG